UGGGGAAUUUUGGACAAUGGGCGAAAGCCUGAUCCAGCAAUGCCGCGUGUGUGAAGAAGGCCUUCGGGUUGUAAAGCACUUUUGUCCGGAAAGAAAUCCUUGGCUCUAAUACAGUCGGGGGAUGACGGUACCGGAAGAAUAAGCACCGGCUAACUACGUGCCAGCAGCCGCGGUAAUACGUAGGGUGCAAGCGUUAACCGGAAUUACUGGGCGUAAAGCGUGCGCAGGCGGUUUGCUAAGACCGAUGUGAAAUCCCCGGGCUCAACCUGGGAACUGCAUUGGUGACUGGCAGGCUAGAGUAUGGCAGAGGGGGGUAGAAUUCCACGUGUAGCAGUGAAAUGCGUAGAGAUGUGGAGGAAUACCGAUGGCGAAGGCAGCCCCCUGGGCCAAUACUGACGCUCAUGCACGAAAGCGUGGGGAGCAAACAGGAUUAGAUACCCUGGUAGUCCACGCCCUAAACGAUGUCAACUAGUUGUUGGGGAUUCAUUUCCUAGUAACGUAGCUAACGCGUGAAGUUGACCGCCUGGGGAGUACGGUCGCAAGAUUAAAACUCAAAGGAAUUGACGGGGUCAUAGCUG
RNAcentral lists this ribosomal RNA (578 nucleotides) under uncultured bacterium. RNAcentral's name for it is "partial 16S ribosomal RNA". It matches the Rfam family "Bacterial small subunit ribosomal RNA", at positions 355 to 932 of the family's 1533-position model. The record is from RNAcentral.